GUCGACGGGGAUCGACUCCGGCCAGCGCGUUGCGCCCGCCGGAGCCGUCGCG
This 52-nucleotide small RNA is filed under the name Albimonas donghaensis. Its description in RNAcentral is "ffh sRNA". It matches the Rfam family "ffh sRNA". Lineage: Bacteria; Pseudomonadati; Pseudomonadota; Alphaproteobacteria; Rhodobacterales; Paracoccaceae. The record is from Rfam by way of RNAcentral.